UACGUAGGGUGCGAGCGUUGUCCGGAAUUAUUGGGCGUAAAGAGCUCGUAGGCGGUCUGUCGCGUCUGCUGUGAAAACCCGAGGCUCAACCUCGGGCCUGCAGUGGGUACGGGCAGACUAGAGUGCGGUAGGGGAGAAUGGAAUUCCUGGUGUAGCGGUGGAAUGCGCAGAUAUCAGGAGGAACACCGAUGGCGAAGGCAGUUCUCUGGGCCGGAACUGACGCUGAGGAGCGAAAGCGUGGGGAGCGAACAGG
This 253-nucleotide ribosomal RNA is filed under the name uncultured bacterium. RNAcentral describes it as "partial 16S ribosomal RNA". It matches the Rfam family "Bacterial small subunit ribosomal RNA", at positions 524 to 776 of the family's 1533-position model. The record is from RNAcentral.